AUCAAAGGAGUGUCGUCGCCUGAAUGGUAACGGAGACACAACGAACUCCCCCAACACCCCGCCUCCGGAUCACUGCCGCAUCGUUCUUUAUUCAGUUUUUUUUGUGGGUGUCACAUGCGAUAAUCUGUUGCAGUUUUAUUGUUGCAAAACUGCGUGUGCUUCAACAGUACAUGCGUCCUGCUGUGAGGCUCGCUGUUCUGAAAAAGGAUCACUGCACUCGAAACGUUAACUCUCCUAUCUCUCCACGGAUGCUGGCAGACCUGCUGAGCUCUUCCCAUCCAUUUCUGUUCUUGUCACCGUGAUUUCGACAGCGUCAAUUGGGUGUGAAGUUGCACAUAGGAAAUAUACUCAGCGCAAAAUAUGAUCGUGCAAAUCAUGCAUCGUGAUACGCAGGUUGAUAGGGAAAAGGUGGAAACAAUUAACCACACCACUUAGCAAAUGAUGUAUAAGGGCUGUUUUGCGGUGCAGUUGGUAAUGUUCCUACCCCUGGACCGAGAGACCCGGAUUCAAGUCUCACCUGCACCAGAGAAGGAAAGGGCCUGAAAAGCAAUGACAAAAAUCAACAAGCAAGCAUCAAUUGAAGGUAUGGCUAGGAACUGGUUUUCUUCAUUAAAUGUUUAGAAAUUCAGAAGGAAAUCUGAUUUGCA
Molecule: long non-coding RNA, 647 nt
Organism: Stegostoma tigrinum
Lineage: Eukaryota; Metazoa; Chordata; Chondrichthyes; Orectolobiformes; Stegostomatidae
Exons: 3
Source: RefSeq, a predicted model, not a curated record